Molecule: ribosomal RNA, 486 nt
Filed under: Xylotrupes tadoana
Lineage: Eukaryota; Metazoa; Arthropoda; Insecta; Coleoptera; Scarabaeidae
Description: partial large subunit ribosomal RNA
Rfam family: Bacterial large subunit ribosomal RNA
Source: RNAcentral
CAAAAACAUGUCUUUUUGAUUAUAAUUUAAAGUCUAACCUGCCCAAUGAGGAGUUAAAUGGCCGCGGUAUUUUGACCGUGCAAAGGUAGCAUAAUCAUUAGUUUUUUAAUUGAAAGCUGGUAUGAAUGGUUGGACGAGAAAAUAACUGUCUCGAUUUAAAUUAAAUUAGAAUUUUAUUUAUGAGUAAAAAAGCUCAUAUGAGUUUAAAAGACGAGAAGACCCUAUAGAAUUUAAUAUAUGUAUAUAUAUAUUAUUUUUAGACAUUAAUAAUAAGUUAUAUAUAAUUAUAUUUUGUUGGGGUGAUAGAAAAAUUAAAUUAACUUUUUUUGUAUAAAAACAUUAAUUUAUGAAAAAAUGAUCCGUUAAUUACGAUUAUAAGAUUAAAUUACCUUAGGGAUAACAGCGUAAUUUUUUUUUAGAGUUCUUAUCGAAAAAAGAGUUUGCGACCUCGAUGUUGGAUUAAAAUUAACUUUUGGUGUAGGGGCU